RNAcentral lists this ribosomal RNA (252 nucleotides) under uncultured bacterium. RNAcentral's name for it is "partial 16S ribosomal RNA". It matches the Rfam family "Bacterial small subunit ribosomal RNA", at positions 99 to 354 of the family's 1533-position model. The record is from RNAcentral.
CGAACGGGUGAGUAAUAUAUCGGAACGUACCCAAGAGUGGGGGAUAACGUAGCGAAAGUUACGCUAAUACCGCAUACGAUCUAAGGAUGAAAGUGGGGGACCGCAAGGCCUCACGCUCCUGGAGCGGCCGAUAUCUGAUUAGCUAGUUGGUGAGGUAAAGGCUCACCAAGGCGACGAUCAGUAGCUGGUCUGAGAGGACGACCAGCCACACUGGGACUGAGACACGGCCCAGACUCCUACGGAAGGCAGCAG